GAUGUCAAUGGGCCGGAUUUUAUGGAGAACUUCUAAAAACUCGAAUUCAAAUCUGACUAUAAACCUAAAACUCGAAUUCAAAUCCGACGAAUUUUAAAAACAUAUAUUCAAAUCCAAAUCCGACCAAAAAUUCAAAGAGAAAUGAUUCUAUACUUUAUUUUAUAAAAAGUAAAUCUUAACCGUUGAUCAAUAAAGAGUAAAAGUGUCAUUUUAUAUGUAGCAGGUUAAAAGGUCACUUCAUGUCUAGGGUAUUUUUGUAAUUAAAUAUCACAAAAUUUAAAUAAAGUUUUGAUUGAUAUCCCAAAUUUUGAUAUUAAUUUUGCACUAAUUUAAACAUUAAUUUAAGAAAUUGAUUGAUAUCCCAAAUUUAGGUAUUAAUUUUGCACUAAUUUAGACAUUAAUUUUAGAAAUUUUAGAAUUCUUAUAAUUUAGGCAUUAAUUUAAAUUUUAGGAAUUUUAGAAAUUAUACGAUUUCUAAAUAUGUUGAAUUUAAAUAUUAAAAUAUUUAAAUUUAAAAAAUCAAAUUUAAAUUAGAGGAAUUUUGUAUUGCUAUUUUUUAAAAAAUUAAUGUUGGUAAAUUUUUAAAUUCAACAUAUUUAAUAUGUUUAAAAUUUUUUUGAUUUCUCUGGUUUAGACAUUAAUUUUGUAUCACUAAUUUUUUUUAAAAAAAAUGAAUGUAGGUAAAUAUUUAAUUUCAACAUAGUUCAUAUGUUUAAAAAAUUUUAGGAUUUUUCUAAUUUAGACAUUAAUUUUGUAUUACUAUUUAUACUUUUUAAUAUUGAUAAAUAUUUAAAUUCAGCAUAUUUAAUAUGUUGAGACAAUUGCUUACAUAUCUUUUAAAAGUUUUCGACUUUCUGAUUUAACUCUCUUAGAAAGUUAAUAUUAAAAAUAUCUUUUUAACAUUUCAAGUUAUUUCAAAUAUAAUUUAAAGUUAAAUUCUGUUAGUAAACUAUUAGCAACAAUCGUUAUCUCUGUGAAAUUAUUAUUUUACUCUUUCAAAUAUAUCCUUCUACUAUCACCUAAUUUUCUAUUUGCCCAUGAUAUAGGGGCAAAAGAAGCAUUUUAAUUUUGUUGUCUUUUCGAAUAUACCCUUCUACCUUCACUAGUUUUUCUUAUUUACCCUGAAGUUAAGGGUAAAAAAGAUAUUUUGAUUUUUUAAACUCAGGUGAAAAUUUAACCCGGGUUUUAUCUAAGAUAACUUAACAAGUACUAACAGCGGAGAUAUUUUUGAAUAACGGAGAGCUAUACAAGGGAUGUAUUUGAAACAAAAGAAAAAAGAAUAAAUUGGAUAUUUCAGAAGUUUUCAUGGGUAUAUUAGAUAUUAUUCCUAAUA
This 1333-nucleotide long non-coding RNA is filed under the name Ananas comosus (pineapple). RNAcentral's name for it is "long non-coding RNA (ACOM_LNC005036)". Lineage: Eukaryota; Viridiplantae; Streptophyta; Magnoliopsida; Poales; Bromeliaceae. The record is from RNAcentral.